GCCUGGGUGGCUCAGUUGGUUGGGCGGCCGACUUCGGCUCAGGUCAUGAUCUUGCAGUCCGUGAGUUCAAGCCCUACUUCAGGCU
Non-coding RNA from Felis catus (domestic cat), 85 nucleotides. The record is from Rfam. Lineage: Eukaryota; Metazoa; Chordata; Mammalia; Carnivora; Felidae.